GGUCUGAGGAAGGAGGCAACCAGGAGCUGCUUAUUCUUCUGGAAAUCCCAGAGCCUCCUGGUACAGACAGCGUUUCCUACUUUCCCUGCGGCUCUUUUGUGUGACUUUGAGAGGGGCUCUCUGGUGACUGAUUCCUCUCUGUGCGCUCGCCUCAGCGAGCAGCCAGGCUCUGGGAGGGAGGACCCAAGCUCAGCAGUGGCAGAGGCAGCCAGCACAGACCUCAACGGUGCUGGAACCGGCAUGCGGUUUUUGAAGUCAGCAAAACCAGAAAUCAAAUUACUAUCAUCUUAUGCUGCUGGAAGCUUAAAGAGAGGGGAUUCCACACUGGCUCAGUCACCAUGCGACAGGCGAGUCACAGGAUAGCGGACCCUGGCGACAACGAAUGUAAGUUCCUGGGCUGCUGUCUUUUACUGCUGUGGGAUUUUCUUUCUGCUUAAAGUCACGCUUGGCCACGAUGCCGUCAUUGCCGUGAGAAUUUCUGAUGUGGAAA
This 490-nucleotide long non-coding RNA is filed under the name Rattus norvegicus (Norway rat). RNAcentral describes it as "long non-coding RNA NONRATT010589". Lineage: Eukaryota; Metazoa; Chordata; Mammalia; Rodentia; Muridae. The record is from RNAcentral.